UGGGGAAUUUUGGACAAUGGGCGCAAGCCUGAUCCAGCCAUGCCGCGUGCGGGAAGAAGGCCUUCGGGUUGUAAACCGCUUUUGUCAGGGAAGAAAUCUUCUGAGUUAAUACCUCGGGAGGAUGACGGUACCUGAAGAAUAAGCACCGGCUAACUACGUGCCAGCAGCCGCGGUAAUACGUAGGGUGCAAGCGUUAAUCGGAAUUACUGGGCGUAAAGCGUGCGCAGGCGGUUUUGUAAGACAGAGGUGAAAUCCCCAGGCUCAACCUGGGAACUGCCUUUGUGACUACAAGGCUUGAGUGCGGCAGAGGGGGAUGGAAUUCCGCGUGUAGCAGUGAAAUGCGUAGAUAUGCGGAGGAACACCGAUGGCGAAGGCAAUCCCCUGGGCCUGCACUGACGCUCAUGCACGAAAGCGUGGGGAGCAAAACAGGAUUAGAUACCCUGGUAAGUCCACGCCCUAAAACGAUGUCAACUGGUUGUUGGGAAGGUUCCUUCUCAGUAACGUAGCUAACGCGUGAAGUUGACCGCCUGGGGAGUACGGCCGCAAGGUUG
Molecule: ribosomal RNA, 551 nt
Filed under: uncultured bacterium
Lineage: Bacteria
Description: partial 16S ribosomal RNA
Rfam family: Bacterial small subunit ribosomal RNA
Source: RNAcentral